UACGUAGGGUGCAAGCGUUGUCCGGAAUUAUUGGGCGUAAAGAGCUCGUAGGCGGUUUGUUGCGUCGGCUGUGAAAUCCCGAGGCUCAACCUCGGGUCUGCAGUCGAUACGAGCAAACUAGAGUGUUGCAGGGGAGACUGGAAUUCCUGGUGUAGCGGUGAAAUGCGCAGAUAUCAGGAGGAACACCGGUGGCGAAGGCGGGUCUCUGGGCAACAACUGACGCUGAGGAGCGAAAGCGUGGGAAGCGAACAGG
RNAcentral lists this ribosomal RNA (253 nucleotides) under uncultured bacterium. RNAcentral describes it as "partial 16S ribosomal RNA". It matches the Rfam family "Bacterial small subunit ribosomal RNA", at positions 524 to 776 of the family's 1533-position model. The record is from RNAcentral.